GACGAACGCUGGCGGCGUGCCUAAUACAUGCAAGUAGAACGCUGAAGAGAGGAGCUUGCUCUUCUUGGAUGAGUUGCGAACGGGUGAGUAACGCGUAGGUAACCUGCCUUGUAGCGGGGGAUAACUAUUGGAAACGAUAGCUAAUACCGCAUAACAAUGGAUGACACAUGUCAUUUAUUUGAAAGGGGCAAUUGCUCCACUACAAGAUGGACCUGCGUUGUAUUAGCUAGUAGGUGAGGUAAUGGCUCACCUAGGCGACGAUACAUAGCCGACCUGAGAGGGUGAUCGGCCACACUGGGACUGAGACACGGCCCAGACUCCUACGGGAGGCAGCAGUAGGGAAUCUUCGGCAAUGGGGGCAACCCUGACCGAGCAACGCCGCGUGAGUGAAGAAGGGUUUCGGAUCGUAAAGCUCUGUUGUAAGUCAAGAACGGGUGUGAGAGUGGAAAGUUCACACUGUGACGGUAGCUCACCAGAAAGGGACGGCUAACUACGUG
RNAcentral lists this ribosomal RNA (497 nucleotides) under uncultured bacterium. RNAcentral describes it as "partial 16S ribosomal RNA". It matches the Rfam family "Bacterial small subunit ribosomal RNA", at positions 28 to 507 of the family's 1533-position model. The record is from RNAcentral.